RNAcentral lists this long non-coding RNA (568 nucleotides) under Anas platyrhynchos platyrhynchos (common mallard). RNAcentral's name for it is "lncRNA (ENSAPLG00000017733.1)". Lineage: Eukaryota; Metazoa; Chordata; Aves; Anseriformes; Anatidae. The record is from RNAcentral.
GAGGCCUCGUAAGAGGAGUUGAUUUUGAUAGUUCAUCAAAAUGAAAUCAGUGUUGAAGCAAUGACCCAGUGACCUUGCAAGUGGGGUUUACAGUAGGAAAGAUGUGAACUGAAUUUGCCUCUGCUCUGCUUUUAGAGGCACAAGGGUAUGCUUUCACAUGAGUAGACAUGCUAUCUAUGCCACGCAAGCUAUGUUAGUUUGAAUUGACUCAGACUACAUGAAUCCAAACUAGUGUGCUGCAUUCAACGCCUCUGAGAUUUAUUUGGAGUAAAAGAUCUGCGUCAGUCUAUGCACCAGAGCUCUUUUUCUUUCUCUUCCUUCACUCGUCAUGCACAUUUCAAGCUCUAUGGAAAAAUCUUAUGACAACUGUGAAACUGAACUUACAUUACCUCAACUGACCGGACCCAUUGCAGACUCUGAGAUGGAAUGUAUGCAUCACUCUUUGCCAAUUCAGAGGUUAUUUAAUAUGGACACUUUCAGCUCAGCCAACUACAUCCAGUAUGUCCUGUGGCCAGGAAGAAAAGGAAAUUUCUUAAACUAUAUGAAGAAGUACCAUCUCUAAAGAAGU